GCUCCUGUAGCUCAGUGGUUAGAGCGACGGUCUUAUGAGCCGUAGGUCGUGGGUUCGACCCCCGCCGGGAGUA
Perkinsus marinus ATCC 50983 is the source of this 73-nucleotide non-coding RNA. NCBI's taxonomy places the organism in Eukaryota, Perkinsozoa, Perkinsida, Perkinsidae. The record is from Rfam.